This 64-nucleotide transfer RNA is filed under the name Curculionoidea sp. 19 KM-2017. RNAcentral describes it as "tRNA-Trp". The record is from RNAcentral. Lineage: Eukaryota; Metazoa; Arthropoda; Insecta; Coleoptera.
AAGAAUUUAAGUUAAAAAAACUGUUGACCUUCAAAGUCAAAAAUAUAAAAUUUGAUAAUUCUUA